Molecule: transfer RNA, 72 nt
Filed under: Pseudotrichonotus altivelis
Lineage: Eukaryota; Metazoa; Chordata; Actinopteri; Aulopiformes; Pseudotrichonotidae
Description: tRNA-Thr
Rfam family: tRNA
About the family: Transfer RNA (tRNA) molecules are approximately 80 nucleotides in length.
Source: RNAcentral
GCUCUAGUAGCUCAGUAUCAGAGCACCGGUUUUGUAACCCGGAGGUCGAAAGUUAAAAUCCUUCCUAGUGCU